RNAcentral lists this ribosomal RNA (114 nucleotides) under Zingiber officinale. Lineage: Eukaryota; Viridiplantae; Streptophyta; Magnoliopsida; Zingiberales; Zingiberaceae. The record is from RNAcentral.
GUGAUCAUACCAGCAUGAAUGCACCGGAUCCUAUCUGAACUCUGAAGUUAAGCUUGCUUGGGCGAGGGCAGUACUAGGAUGGGUGACCCCCUGGGAAGUCCUCGUGUUGCACCU